RNAcentral lists this ribosomal RNA (461 nucleotides) under uncultured bacterium. Its description in RNAcentral is "partial 16S ribosomal RNA". It matches the Rfam family "Bacterial small subunit ribosomal RNA", at positions 338 to 795 of the family's 1533-position model. The record is from RNAcentral.
CCUACGGGUGGCUGCAGUGAGGAAUAUUGGUCAAUGGGCGCGCGCCUGAACCAGCCAAGUCGCGUGAGGGAGGACGGCCCUACGGGUUGUAAACCUCUCUUGCCGGGGAGCAACGGGCGUAACGUGUGGCGCCACUGAGAGUACCCGGAGGAAAAGAAUCGGCUAACUCCGUGCCAGCAGCCGCGGUACUACGGGGGGUGCAAGCAUUGUCCGGAACCAUUGGGCGUAAAGAGGUCGCAGGCGGCACGGAAAGUCUGGUGUUAAAGGCAGAGGCUCAACUUCUGUACGGCACUGGAUACUUGCGGGCUAGAAUGCGGUAGAGGGCAAGGGAAUUCCUGGUGUAGCGGUGAAAUGCUUAGAUAUCAGGAGGAACAUCGGUGGCGUAAGCGCUUUACUGGGCCGUAAUUGACGCUGAGGAACGAAAGCCAGGGUAGCAAAUGGGAUUAGAUACCCCUGUAGUC